CUACAAGAAAAUAGUGGUAGGAAAUGACUACAAACAGCAGCCUCCUUGGGAGUGGCAUGUACCCGGUUGCCAAUAUGGUUGUCCUAAGGGACCUUGGAAACAAUU
Molecule: small nucleolar RNA, 105 nt
Filed under: Meriones unguiculatus (Mongolian gerbil)
Lineage: Eukaryota; Metazoa; Chordata; Mammalia; Rodentia; Muridae
Description: Small nucleolar RNA SNORA70 (ENSMUGG00000010431.1)
Rfam family: Small nucleolar RNA SNORA70
About the family: snoRNA U70 seems to be exclusive to mammals and is a member of the H/ACA class of snoRNA which contain H (ANANNA) and ACA box motifs. H/ACA box snoRNAs are involved in the conversion of uridines to pseudouridines (5-ribosyluracil) a constituent of structural RNAs (transfer, ribosomal, small nuclear, and small nucleolar).
Source: RNAcentral